RNAcentral lists this RNase P RNA (325 nucleotides) under marine eukaryotic metagenome. RNAcentral describes it as "Bacterial RNase P class A". It matches the Rfam family "Bacterial RNase P class A". From Rfam's summary of the family: Ribonuclease P (RNase P) is a ubiquitous endoribonuclease, found in archaea, bacteria and eukarya as well as chloroplasts and mitochondria. The record is from RNAcentral.
AUCGCGGGUCCGUAAGGGCAUGAGGAAAGUCCGGACAUCAAAGGGUAGCCUGCUUCCUAACGGGAAGGCGCUAAUUUAUUAGUGACAGCAAGUGCAGCAGAGAGUAUAUUUCCCAUUUAUUUGGGUAAAGGUGAAACGGUGAAGUAAGAGCUCACCAGCAAGAUUGGUGACAGUUUUGGCUAGGUAAACCUCAGGCGAUGAAAAAUCAAAUAAACUCCGGUUUGAGGGCGACCCGUCCAAACGGAGAGGGUAGAUUGCUUGAUCCCAUUGGUGACGAUGGGGCUAGAUAAAUGAUAAGCUAUUACAGAAUCCGGCUUAUAGAUUU